This 761-nucleotide ribosomal RNA is filed under the name Bacillus sp. GP0610. RNAcentral describes it as "bacterial SSU rRNA". It matches the Rfam family "Bacterial small subunit ribosomal RNA", at positions 75 to 820 of the family's 1533-position model. Lineage: Bacteria; Bacillati; Bacillota; Bacilli; Caryophanales; Bacillaceae. The record is from RNAcentral.
GGAGCUUGCUCCCUGAUGUUAGCGGCGGACGGGUGAGUAACACGUGGGUAACCUGCCUGUAAGACUGGGAUAACUCCGGGAAACCGGGGCUAAUACCGGAUGCUUGUUUGAACCGCAUGGUUCAAACAUAAAAGGUGGCUUCGGCUACCACUUACAGAUGGACCCGCGGCGCAUUAGCUAGUUGGUGAGGUAAUGGCUCACCAAGGCAACGAUGCGUAGCCGACCUGAGAGGGUGAUCGGCCACACUGGGACUGAGACACGGCCCAGACUCCUACGGGAGGCAGCAGUAGGGAAUCUUCCGCAAUGGACGAAAGUCUGACGGAGCAACGCCGCGUGAGUGAUGAAGGUUUUCGGAUCGUAAAGCUCUGUUGUUAGGGAAGAACAAGUGCCGUUCAAAUAGGGCGGCACCUUGACGGUACCUAACCAGAAAGCCACGGCUAACUACGUGCCAGCAGCCGCGGUAAUACGUAGGUGGCAAGCGUUGUCCGGAAUUAUUGGGCGUAAAGGGCUCGCAGGCGGUUUCUUAAGUCUGAUGUGAAAGCCCCCGGCUCACCCGGGGAGGGUCAUUGGAAACUGGGGAACUUGAGUGCAGAAGAGGAGAGUGGAAUUCCACGUGUAGCGGUGAAAUGCGUAGAGAUGUGGAGGAACACCAGUGGCGAAGGCGACUCUCUGGUCUGUAACUGACGCUGAGGAGCGAAAGCGUGGGGAGCGAACAGGAUUAGAUACCCUGGUAGUCCACGCCGUAAACGAUGAGUGCUAAU